Molecule: ribosomal RNA, 690 nt
Filed under: Triticum aestivum (bread wheat)
Lineage: Eukaryota; Viridiplantae; Streptophyta; Magnoliopsida; Poales; Poaceae
Description: partial small subunit ribosomal RNA
Source: RNAcentral
AUGCAACAUAUUACAGAAAGGCCCAACAGAAAGAGAAAAUUACAACUCAGGCCGGACAUUUUGCAGAUAGGACCCCAGACAACAAAAAUGAAAAGCAAUCGAGUCCUCUUCGCCGUCUUCGAUCCUGGCCCGAUCCCACCACCACCGGGGACGAAACCACUUGGGGUGAAGGAAUGGCUACAGCACCGUCGGCAAACAACUGGAGGUAGACCAUGGAAAUACCAGGACGAAGAACCUGAUAAACUGCCUCCCAUAUGGCUCGGCGGCCAGGAGGAAAUACAGGAGCCGAACGUCGUCGCCAGAACUCCGAGUGGCCUUUCGACUAGCAGAUACAGCGGCGCAGUGGCGAGAACCUCCUGGUGCUCUCUGCACCAAGAUCCCCAACCAUUUGCUGCAAAACUUGGGCUCCAAGGACACGCAGAGAGGAUAGAGCAGCCAAAUCCCCUUUCUUCCUCUUCUUCCAGUCCACCUCCAUGGCAGCUUGAGGAGAAGUGGGGAAGAAGGAGCUUGAGCUCCAGAUCUGAGAGACCCGCGAGCUUAUUGAGAGGGAUUUCGCCAGAUCCAGUGCCUCCUCCCUUCCUCCACCAUGGAGACGAAGAAGAAGACAAGGACGACAACCACCGGCAGCUGCUCGCAAGCACCGGCGGCAGAAACCCCAACGGCAUAGCGCCAAACCACAAGACGACUUGA